This 1543-nucleotide ribosomal RNA is filed under the name Escherichia coli. RNAcentral's name for it is "bacterial SSU rRNA". It matches the Rfam family "Bacterial small subunit ribosomal RNA". The record is from RNAcentral. Lineage: Bacteria; Pseudomonadati; Pseudomonadota; Gammaproteobacteria; Enterobacterales; Enterobacteriaceae.
AAAUUGAAGAGUUUGAUCAUGGCUCAGAUUGAACGCUGGCGGCAGGCCUAACACAUGCAAGUCGAACGGUAACAGGAAGCAGCUUGCUGCUUUGCUGACGAGUGGCGGACGGGUGAGUAAUGUCUGGGAAACUGCCUGAUGGAGGGGGAUAACUACUGGAAACGGUAGCUAAUACCGCAUAACGUCGCAAGACCAAAGAGGGGGACCUUCGGGCCUCUUGCCAUCGGAUGUGCCCAGAUGGGAUUAGCUUGUUGGUGGGGUAACGGCUCACCAAGGCGACGAUCCCUAGCUGGUCUGAGAGGAUGACCAGCCACACUGGAACUGAGACACGGUCCAGACUCCUACGGGAGGCAGCAGUGGGGAAUAUUGCACAAUGGGCGCAAGCCUGAUGCAGCCAUGCCGCGUGUAUGAAGAAGGCCUUCGGGUUGUAAAGUACUUUCAGCGGGGAGGAAGGGAGUAAAGUUAAUACCUUUGCUCAUUGACGUUACCCGCAGAAGAAGCACCGGCUAACUCCGUGCCAGCAGCCGCGGUAAUACGGAGGGUGCAAGCGUUAAUCGGAAUUACUGGGCGUAAAGCGCACGCAGGCGGUUUGUUAAGUCAGAUGUGAAAUCCCCGGGCUCAACCUGGGAACUGCAUCUGAUACUGGCAAGCUUGAGUCUCGUAGAGGGGGGGUAGAAUUCCAGGUGUAGCGGUGAAAUGCGUAGAGAUCUGGAGGAAUACCGGUGGCGAAGGCGGCCCCCUGGACGAAGACUGACGCUCAGGUGCGAAAGCGUGGGGAGCAAACAGGAUUAGAUACCCUGGUAGUCCACGCCGUAAACGAUGUCGACUUGGAGGUUGUGCCCUUGAGGCGUGGCUUCCGGAGCUAACGCGUUAAGUCGACCGCCUGGGGAGUACGGCCGCAAGGUUAAAACUCAAAUGAAUUGACGGGGGCCCGCACAAGCGGUGGAGCAUGUGGUUUAAUUCGAUGCAACGCGAAGAACCUUACCUGGUCUUGACAUCCACGGAAGUUUUCAGAGAUGAGAAUGUGCCUUCGGGAACCGUGAGACAGGUGCUGCAUGGCUGUCGUCAGCUCGUGUUGUGAAAUGUUGGGUUAAGUCCCGCAACGAGCGCAACCCUUAUCCUUUGUUGCCAGCGGUCCGGCCGGGAACUCAAAGGAGACUGCCAGUGAUAAACUGGAGGAAGGUGGGGAUGACGUCAAGUCAUCAUGGCCCUUACGACCAGGGCUACACACGUGCUACAAUGGCGCAUACAAAGAGAAGCGACCUCGCGAGAGCAAGCGGACCUCAUAAAGUGCGUCGUAGUCCGGAUUGGAGUCUGCAACUCGACUCCAUGAAGUCGGAAUCGCUAGUAAUCGUGGAUCAGAAUGCCACGGUGAAUACGUUCCCGGGCCUUGUACACACCGCCCGUCACACCAUGGGAGUGGGUUGCAAAAGAAGUAGGUAGCUUAACCUUCGGGAGGGCGCUUACCACUUUGUGAUUCAUGACUGGGGUGAAGUCGUAACAAGGUAACCGUAGGGGAACCUGCGGUUGGAUCACCUCCUUA